AGGACGAACGCUGGCGGCGUGCUUAACACAUGCAAGUCGAGCGGAAAGGCCCUUCGGGGUACUCGAGCGGCGAACGGGUGGGUAACACGUGAGUAAUCUGCCCCUAGCUCUGGGAUAGCUCCGGGAAACCGGGAUUAAUACCAGAUACGACCACUUUAGACAUCUGCUGUGGUGGAAAGAAUUUCGGCUAGGGAUGAGCUCGCGGCCUAUCAGCUUGUUGGUGAGGUAACGGCUCACCAAGGCGACGACGGGUA
This 254-nucleotide ribosomal RNA is filed under the name uncultured bacterium. RNAcentral's name for it is "partial small subunit ribosomal RNA". It matches the Rfam family "Bacterial small subunit ribosomal RNA", at positions 26 to 285 of the family's 1533-position model. The record is from RNAcentral.